RNAcentral lists this long non-coding RNA (545 nucleotides) under Carica papaya (papaya). RNAcentral's name for it is "long non-coding RNA (CPAP_LNC002854)". The record is from RNAcentral. Lineage: Eukaryota; Viridiplantae; Streptophyta; Magnoliopsida; Brassicales; Caricaceae.
UAGGAGCAGGGGCAACACGGGGUCCUUUGUUAGGAUGAUCAUUGCCAAGGUCAGGCAAUCUUCUCCUAUGUUUAUUGUGGUUAAUGCUGCUGCUAUUGGGUGCAAAUUUGAGUGAUGCAUUGGUGUUAGGUCGAAUGAGGCCUUUGGCCAACUAGGCAUGUUCAAGCACCUUGACAUAUGAGCUGGGUCUCAUCAUCGCCACUCUAUCAUAGAUAUUAGCAUGAAGAUCCUUUAGAAAUUUUUUAGCCAUACUACUUUUCAGGGUAACCAUCAGAGGGACAAACUUAGACAACUGGGUAAAAUGGGUGGCAUACUGGUUAACAGUCAUAUUCCCUUGGUAGAGGUCUUGAAAUUCCUCCUCUUUCUUCUUUCGGACGUAUAUAGGGAAGAAAUUCUCAAAGAAGACAUCCAUUAAAACUUCCCAAGUCCAUGGGGAGGGUAGGACAUCUUUCUUAAGUUGCCACCAGUGUUCAAUUUCACUAGUCAGCAUAAAGGCUGCAAAGGGAACCUUCUACUCCUCUAUUAGGUCUGGGAUGGAGAAAAGC